AAAAAUCAAGGAGCAAUUCGGGGAAUUGGAAUUUAGGAAGAAUUCCUAUGCUGAAAUACACUCACUCGACCAUAAAUAAUAAGUGCCGUAUAUUUUUGCCUUUAGGAUUCAGUUUUUUUCUUCUUCUAUUUUCUUUUCUUUUCUCCUCUCUUCAUCUACUUCCUUUUUUCUUCUUCUUUUCUUUCUUUUCUUUUCUUUUCUUUUCUCUUCAUCUACUUUCUCUUCUUCUUUUUCUCCAUAGUCGAAUCCUUCUACUAUUUUACUCACCUCCACUUUCUAAUCAUUUGUUCCUAAGCUUUAUACACAAAAGCCGAAAUCCCGAAAGCCUAUAUUUC
RNAcentral lists this long non-coding RNA (335 nucleotides) under Gossypium barbadense (sea-island cotton). RNAcentral's name for it is "long non-coding RNA (GBAR_LNC010572)". The record is from RNAcentral. Lineage: Eukaryota; Viridiplantae; Streptophyta; Magnoliopsida; Malvales; Malvaceae.